RNAcentral lists this ribosomal RNA (253 nucleotides) under uncultured bacterium. Its description in RNAcentral is "partial 16S ribosomal RNA". It matches the Rfam family "Bacterial small subunit ribosomal RNA", at positions 524 to 776 of the family's 1533-position model. The record is from RNAcentral.
UACGGAGGGUGCAAGCGUUAUCCGGAUUUACUGGGUUUAAAGGGUAUGUAGGCGGGCUGUUUAGUCAGUGGUGAAAUCUCCGGGCUCAACCCGGAAACUGCCAUUGAUACUAAUGGUCUUGAAUUUUGUUGAGGUAGGCGGAAUAAGUCAUGUAGCGGUGAAAUGCAUAGAUAUGACUUAGAACACCAAUUGCGAAGGCAGCUUGCUAAACAAAUAUUGACGCUGAGGCACGAAAGCGUGGGGAUCAAACAGG